UGCUCGUUUUGUGGUCGCAAGAAAAACCCUAGCCCAUUCCCGUCCGCAUCCCUGCUGCCGCCGCCGCCCUCCCAGUUCCCUCUGCUCCUGCUGCUUCCCUCCACCUCUCCCUCCUCCAUGCCGUCAGGGGCGCCCCUCAAGCCCCACCUCAUCGGUUCCUCACCCCGGUCUCCUUCUCCCCCGCCCAUGCUGCUCUCUGUGCGCGGUGACCGGACAGAGGAGGAAGAUCAGGAGGGCCGCAGGGAUGAAGGAGGAGGUAGAGCCGCUCACGUCGCCGCCGCCGUCUUCCUCGCCCUCACCAUGCGGGCCGCAGCGCUCCACCUCCUUGGCAUCUCCGUCUGGUCUACAGAUGAUGAGAAAUAAGGGACGGAAGCAAGAUGUGAGGAUGUGGAGACGCUAUGUUGCCUCCAUCCCUGGCCUUCUUCUUGGCGUGUACUCGUUGGUCAUGCUCCGCUUCCUCCACUCCCACCUCUCGGCCUCGACACCUCUGCGUAUUUCUCCAUCACUCUCUUGCAGGUACUCACUCUACUCCUCCUCUGCUUUCAGUUAGUCUGCAAUUUUUUCAUCCUUGCUUAUGUAGGUUAUUGUUGAAAUCCAACAAGGCCACUGUGGAACUCAGUGAUUUGUUUCUCAAAUACGUCUGUGUUGUGUGAUUUGCUAUGCAAGCUAUAUAUGGAUAAAUUGCAGGGGAAAUAUAAUUGUGCUGGAUUGUUCGAGACAUCCAUCACAUAAUUUUCUCAGAUUUAGAACUCAUGCAGAUGUUGUUAUCUUUUCAGGUAUGUGCUGAGAAUCCUAGGUGCGGCGACCUCAACAAUGUCCCAUCGUUGCCGGCGGUCUCCUAUAUGCUCCUGCGGAAUAAGUUCUUCCUGACCACCUCGACACUCACCGCCGCCGAGGAAUCCAGGGACAAGACUACCACCAAGUUGCUCAUCCGCCUUCAGGAUGCACACAUAAGGCUGGUUUGGUGAUUCCUAACAGAAAGAAGUAAACCAUUGUUGAUGUGUCCUCUAAGGUGCAGACGGUGGGCUCUGCGUGGUCGAACCUAAGUUAGUUCCUUUCAAGGGCUAAUACCAAUGAGGUGUACCAGGUGCGCUGGCUCAUGCCACCGCAUCCACCGACAGCAAGGUGGAGAAUGAGGCGCUCAAGGAGAGGGAGACCAGGAUGGUGCUUGUGUCUAUACGGUGACAGCGUGGACCUCUUCUUCGCAGAGAGGACGAAGUUGCAUGUCCCAAAUCGUUAGGGGCUAGGCUGUUUCCGCGUCGAGGAGUUCAUUUUGGCAGACGGAACUUUUGAAAGCUAGAAUAUUUUGGUGAAAUGUGAAGGGCUGCUUCAGUUUACCCAUAGUGUUAUUUCUAGAUGAACAAGGAGUGGUGACAUUGUGAGAUGGUGAAGCCAGAGCAUUGUCGAUGAAACUAGCCGAGGAGGAAUUGUGAGUUCACCUCCCUCUCCUUUGCAUCGGUUGUAUUUUCUCUCCUCUUUGUGCCCAUAUAUGUUAUGUUUCCCCGGGUCGGUGUGAAGUGAGCACGCAGUUUGUCAUCGUUCGUCAAUCGUCUGUCCUGUUCGUCUUCACUUCGUUCGAUGUGCCUUUCCGUUGCGGAGGUGUGUUUUGUUGUUUUAUCUUGUUGCACUUGUUAAUAUGAAAUCACGUCUUAAAGGAUUCAGAAGGUUAUACUUCAGUUUAGUUAUUGUGUUCUUAAGAUUUCUAUACGAACUUUACUCCUUUCUACAAGACUAGCCAUCAAAUCAUGAUAACUGAACCAUUGAAAAACUAUAGAAGGAUUAGUGGCAAUAAAACCUUAGGUUAGUUCUACCCUUUAUUUUGUUAUAAUUCCUCUGUUCUGGUAAUGAAAAAGAUGACCACACAGAUUAAAGGUUUAGAAACUAUAAAAGGAUCUGAACAUGAAGCUUAAUCUGCUGAAUUUUCACUUCAGUAGUCCCUCGGCUUCGAGAGUAUACGCAAUAUUUGAUUGUUGCUUCUCAAUGAUGCUACCAAAAAUUGGACACCCUGGCGUCGGAGAGACGGACCAGGAGGCCGAGCAGUCCGUGGUGUCGCCGCCGUCGUCCUCAUCCCUCGUGCGUGGUGACGGAGAGAGGCGAUCCGUCUGGAGCUCGAGUAUAGUUGACCGCGUCUCUUUUCUUUCUCUUCUUUCGCACGUCUCUUUUUCUGUAGCUGUUUGAAGGCUUAUGAUGCAUGGUCACUGACUGUAUUGGAGAUGUAACAUGGUUUGUUAGGUUCAGCCAUUGUGCAAUCUGCACUAACAGGCAUGUGCCCAGCUAAGAGCAAUCUGUAGGAUAUAAUCUAGGAUUUGCUGCAAUUAUCUGCUUCAAUUUAUAGGUAUAAGUACUUCAAAUUCCUUCAAUGGUUGGGAGACAUAUGAAUUUGAUUACACUACUAUUUCAAUUACUGGAUGGUUAUUUGCAGUGUUAUUUAUGACCAUUACUGUACUUAAUAUGGUAUCAAGGUUACAGCCGAAUGUAUCUUGUACCAUACCACCCAUGGAUCUAAGUACAAAUAAUAAUGAGCAAUGAUUUCUCAGGCUAAAAAAAUUCUGCUAUCUCACUCAAGAGCAAUAAUAUACCCACUGAAGACUGACAGAAAACUGUAACCUUACUUUGAGUAGUGCAUCUCACAAUAACAGUUGUCCUCUCUUUUUACAUGUUUUAAAAAUCUGCAUAUUUUCUUGUAAUGAUUUCGGUAACAAAAUUGAAUGGCGCGGUGUAUGCUCACAUAUCCCCGCUCUUACAAGCUACCAUAAGGCAUGUUUCAGACUGUUAGUGUAUACUAUAUUGCUUACUCUGACAUUGGAUUUUGUGUUAACUGCUAUAUUAUAUAUUUUUGUUUCUUCUCAGGAGCCGCCUCCUCUUUUACUGAUAAAAACUGGUCGGAGGGGAUCUGCUUUUUCCCCUGAUCUUCUACGCGAUUGGGAGCCUGAGCCAUGGCUGACCCAUUCACUGCUGGUCUCGGCAGCACCCAAAUAUUCACACAUAUUGGUGAUAGUCUGAUAGGCCUUUUGGGAUUUGCAGUGUAUGUGGAUCUUGGCAGAGCAGAGUCACUUAACCCUGUUAGAGAGUACCAGGGAUACAACAUCAUUUUGAAAAUCCGAAUUUGGCUAAUCCAUGUGUACUGGACCUGUUUUUGAAGUUGUUCUGUCUCAUUUUUGUGAAGGUGGGGCUGUGCAUUUGAUUGGAUUUUGUGGUGGCCUGGUUGGGAAAAGGAAGGUGCAUCUAUUUUUGUUUGCUUCAGUUCUCCCUUUUGGAUUGAGUUGUUGCUAGCUUGCCAUGAAGUUCCUUUACUUGAUAAGAAAUUUUAGUUUGAAAUAUGUGGUCAUUGGGAGUUCAGAAAAGGUGGCAAGCAGGGAAGUCACUACUUUGUACUUGUAUUGUUUCCUUUUACCCAAGUGCCUUCAUACGAUACUAAGUAUUUUUCAGUUUUACAUCAUUCGUUGUACUAAACCACAACAGUACUACGGACUUGCAUGUACCAGUGCUUCAUAUAUGUCGUACUCUGACUGAUGAAAUAACAUCACAUAGUGCAUACAAGAAAGUGAAAAGGACGCUUACCUAACUGGCACCGCCGAGUUUCCUCUCAGGAGGCGCCCCCGAGGGCAGUGGCGGAGCUUCUCAGGGGCCAACCUGGGCCGUUGCCCCCCCAGCCCAUGAAUUUUUUCUGAAAUACCCCUUAGUAUUUGGCCCAUAUCUCAAGCAAAAUCAGCCCAAAAUACAUAUUGUUUGCCCCCCCCAGCCCAUUGCCCCCCCUAGAUUUCAGCCCAAGCUUCGCCACUGCCCGAGGGGCGCCCCAACCACUAGUUUGAGCAGUAAAUGCAGCCUAAUAAUAAACCAUCUAGUGUUGCUUUUGAAAUUAAAUUGAAAAGUGCAUGUUUACUUGCCACCAAAUCUGAUAUUGAUGAUUUAGAUUUUAGCAAAUCUGUUUGCAAUGCUUUUGUGUGCAAAGAGGCAUUAUUUUUAUUUGAGGACGUACAUUUUUCAGGAGUUCGCUGACGUCUUUCCACAAGACGUGCCAUCGGGAUUACCACCUACUCGUGGGAUUGAGCAUCAAAUUGACUUAAUUCCUGGUGCACCAUUACCCAACCGUGCACCAUACCGUACCAAUUCCUAGGAGACAAAGUAGAUUAUGCGUUAAGUACAUGAACUGCUCGACAAAGGUUAUAUACGUGAAUCCCUUAAUUCUUGUGCCGUUCCUAUCAUUUUAGUGCCAAAAAGGAUGAUACGUUGUGUACGUGCGUUGAUUUUAGAGGCAUUAACAAUAUUACUAUUUGUUAUCAUCAUCCUAUUCCUAGGCUAGAUGAAAUGCUUCAUGAAUUGAGUGGCUCUAUAAUAUUCUUCAAAGUUGAUUUGCGUAGUGGAUACCAUCAAAUUUGUAUGAAAUUGGGAGAUGAAUGAAAAACUGUAUUU
Long non-coding RNA from Triticum aestivum (bread wheat), 4413 nucleotides. RefSeq lists it as uncharacterized. The record is from RefSeq and is a predicted model, not a curated record. The transcript is spliced from 10 exons. Lineage: Eukaryota; Viridiplantae; Streptophyta; Magnoliopsida; Poales; Poaceae.